This 253-nucleotide ribosomal RNA is filed under the name uncultured bacterium. RNAcentral's name for it is "partial 16S ribosomal RNA". It matches the Rfam family "Bacterial small subunit ribosomal RNA", at positions 524 to 776 of the family's 1533-position model. The record is from RNAcentral.
UACGUAGGGUGCAAGCGUUGUCCGGAAUUAUUGGGCGUAAAGAGCUCGUAGGCGGUCUGUCGCGUCGGCUGUGAAAACUCGGGGCUCAACCCCGAGCCUGCAGUCGAUACGGGCAGACUAGAGUGCUGUAGGGGAGACUGGAAUUCCUGGUGUAGCGGUGAAAUGCGCAGAUAUCAGGAGGAACACCGGUGGCGAAGGCGGCGACCUGGGUAGAUACUGACGCUGAGGUGCGAAAGCGUGGGGAGCAAACAGG